GGCAUUGUGCCAGUGUCAAACCAUAACACCAGGUGAGCACACAGCACAGCCUGCUGUCCCCAAAUUGUCACCCUGUGUCCCCAAGUGAGCACACAGCACAGCCUUCUCCCCGAAUUGUCACCCCUCUGUCCCCAGCACCCUGAGCUGGGCUGGCCUUGGGAAUGAGUGUGGCUAAAAGAGGUGACAAAAUGCAAAAAAAGCACAGUAAUAAUGCCAGUCGUUCCAGGAAAUGGGGUUUUGGAGGGAGGGUCAGCCCACAGCAGAGACAAUGUCACCUGGUGCCAAAACUGUCACCCUGCUGUCCCCAGGUGAGCACACAGCACAGCCUGCUGUCCCCAAAUUGCCACCCCGCUGUCCAGGAAUUCCCCAAAUUCCCAUGAGCUCAGGAAGGACCUGAAGGAUGGAGUGACCUGGGAUUGGGCAGGGGAUGGAGAGGCCACGCAGGGUCCCUGUGCCACAUUUUGGGGACAGAGGUGACACCCGGGAUCAUCCCAGUGCAGCACUUUGGGGUUUUCACCCUCUCCAAACCCUUUAUUUUAUGCUGAGUGGUUGAAUUUCCCCUGAUAAAUCCAGGUGGGAUGGAAAUCUCAUUUUUUCCAUCCCAUUUUCCCAUCCUGGAUUAGCUGAAUGGAAAGACCUGGACACAUCCCACUGAAGCUCCGAGGAAUCCCAGGGAUCCUGAACCCCAAUCCUCAGCCCCCCAAAGGGAUCAGAACCUGCAGCAUGGGGUGCCCCCAGUGUGGGGUCCCACAAAUAUUCCACCAGGGCACCACUGAGAAAAGGAAUUUCUAAGGAUCUGCUGGAGCUGAACCACCUGGAAUUCCUGGUCACAAAAAGCCAAUUCUGUUCCUGUCAGGAUUCCUGGGUGAAUAUUUCCCAGGGAUUCCCAGGUUCUCCCUCCUUUUCUGGAGCUGAAUUUGGGAUGGGUGGAUCCGCCCAGGAGCUGUGACACAUCCCUGAGCUGCAGCAGCACAAUCCCAACACAAACACAUUCCCACACAUCCCAGUGAUGUGUUCCUAUCCUGGGGAUUCCCAGGCUGCUGUGGGAUCCCAGACAGGCUCCUGAUCUUUCAUUCUCUGUGUGAGUAAUGCACUUCCCUGCUCCUCACCCCAAACGCUCUUUCAUCCUCCCCCCGGAUUUAUUCCCUUUUAUCCCGGCUCUGCCAGGAUGACAAACACGGCCCCAAAUGCCAAAGGAAAUGAGGCAAAGGCGGAUGCAGCAGGGAGAUCCGAGAUAACAGCAGCUCCCACAUCCAGUCUACCCCAAAACCAGGGAAUUGGUCCCAAAUCUCCUCCCAGGAGCUGCUCCUCAGGGAGUGGGUGCAGGAAUUUGGGGAGAAAUCCAGAGUGGCAGCUGUGGAUCCCUGGGUUCCUCACUGGAGCUGAAUCUUUGCCAAGUUCCAAAUGAAUGAAGAAUAAAUGAAUUUAGGGAAACUGAGGAUUGGGAUGGUUUUAUCCCAAAGCCCUGGGAGGUUACAAGAUAUGAAACAUCCAACCAGGAUCCUCCAGUCCAGCUGUGCACGGAUCACACCUGGAUCCAUGGUGGAUUUAACUCCUGGAUUUAAUCUGUCACCAGGACAAAUCUAUGUACUCCCCAUCCCAAAAAUGUUCCAUCAUCAGCAUUGUGGAUAUCCCCAAAUAUCCCCAAAUCCCACGGAGAACACCCCAAUCAGUGCCUCUGGCAGCUCCUCCUGCAGAGCCCUCCUGGAAUUCUCCAAAUGGGAUCCCAGCAGCUCUGGGAUCAGGAUGUCACAGUGGGAAGAGGGGAAAAUCCCUGGAAGUGACUUUUGCAGCCAUCUGUGACCCAGGAGCUGUCCUGGGUGGCCACAGCAGGAAAAGAUCCCACCAGCCUGGACUUCUCCCUGUGCUGUCUCUGCCUCCAGCCUCCAACUGGAAUAUCCCCAAAAAUAAAACCAAACAACCAUCUCGAGGUGCAGCUGGCAGAAAGGAAGGAGCGCUGACCAUCCCUUUGGAGCUGAGGGGAAGGAGGCAGCAGAUUUCCAGGCCACACGAGGUUCAGCUGUGGAGUUUCUAAACCAAAAUUCCAGGUUUGCAGCUGGAAAACAGCUCCAGGAAAAGCCAGCUGGAAAAGAGGGAUGCACAUCCCACUGAGGGCUUGAUCCAGGUGGUUCUGAGCAGGACAGGCUGGGAGCUCAUCCUGAGGGGGGAAUUUUGGAGGCGGGAUUUCCUUCUUCACCACACUUCCCAAAUAUCUGUGCCCAUCACACAAACUAGUUCAGUCACUCCAUAAAUCUCCCAAAAAACCCUCCUUUUUCCCAUCUGAAAUCACCAUCCCAGCAGCUCCUCCCAGGAACACCAGCAAGGCCCAGUGGCUGCUCCCUGAGCCAGCCCCAUCCAUUCCCACUUCGGGCUGACACGUGGGAUUCUCCCCAACAAAACCUGGAACGGCUCCGAGCUCUAAUCCCAGCACUAAUUCCAAGGGAAGGUCUCACAGUGCUCAGCUCCAAGAGGUUUUGUAAACAAAGCCACCAAACAAAAGCCUCCCAAAGCUCGGCAUUAAUGGAAAAGUUAUUGGGCUGCUUUUCCCCCCCGCUUUAUUUCUUUUCACACAGCAAUAAAAGAAAUCUCCUGAAAAAUCUCCCCCUGCGGCGUUCACAGCCCAAACAAGUGAGGCUGUGGUGCCACACGAGGAGUGGGAGCUGCAAAGAUGUGACAAAAUCCCUUUUCCCCACCUUUUUCCCUGAGCUCUCCUACCUCAGGUCCCUCAGCAUCCCCAGGAUUUCCCUGCAGGAGGUUCCUGCCCCUCCCAGGUGCUGCCAGGAGGAGCAGAGCAAAGAAAUGUGGGGUUGGAUCCAGGAGGAAUUUGGGAGUAGCUUCUCCUUCCUCCUGCUAAUUAAGGCCCUGCCACUAAUUAAGGCCCUGCUCAUUAGCAGGGGGCUCAGGGCUGGGGGUGUUUCCUUAGGGGUCACAGCAGGCUUGGUGUCUGAAAUUGAGGAAAACCCCCAAAGCAUCAUUUACAAACAUAUACAAAAUUCCAGGGAUGUUUGCCCUGGAGAGCAACAGGUCCCAGCCAGGCCUGGAUGAGCCAGGCUUUAAAACUGGGAUGGAAAUCCUGUGGAUUUGUCCCAUCUUCCCACGUGUCUGCAUCCUGAGGGUGCUGCAAGGAGCAGAUUUUUGCUCUGAGCACUGAUGGAUAUUUUGAAGUUGAGCUGCAGCUCUGAGUGAUGGCAUUUAGGGUUUAGUCCUGGCUCAAGCACUUCUGUAAAUCCAACCAGAGCUGGCCCAAAACCAGCAGAGCAUUUAAACCAACGUUUUCCUGUGGAUUUCACCCAGGUUUAGAGUGGGCAGGGCUGGGAAUGGAAGGUGAGGAUGAAGCAGCAGGAGGGGAGGAUGUGAUGCAGCAGGAGAGGAACUCCCAGGAAGCAAAGAAGGACGGGAAUUGGUGGCCCAGCAAAGACGAAUCUGAAUUUCCCAAAUUCUGCCAGGGCACUGUUCAUUAUCUCCAUUUCCUUCUUCCAAAGAACACUGCUGGGGGCGAUUUCCAGGAGGGAAUCACUCCAAGCUUUCAGCCGGAAUUGGGGAAUUCUGUGUGCAGGAAGAACAACCCAAAUCAGGGAUUUUUUUUUCCCCUUCUCAGUAAAAGAGCAAAGCUAAAACAAGGCUGGGAAUCAAAGCUGAAGGAAUCCCAGGACUCCCAGAGCUCCAGGCUGAGCACAGACAGCAACAAACACGAGCUCCAACCAGCGAUUCCCACCUCAGGCUGAACUUUGCUGGAGCUGUCUGUGCCAAACUCCUUUUCUCAGAUAUAAAUCCCAACAGAAGUCAGCUAAAAAUUCAUUUCCAAGCAGAGCCAGGCUGGGAAAAAUCCGAAGAGGCACCAGGAUGAAGCCACCAGGGCAAUCCUUGGAAAGGCUUUGUGCUGCUCCUCUGGGAGAACACGUCUCACGGAUUUAAUUCCAACAUGAUCCCCCAUGUUCCAGUCAUUAAUAAAUCCAGGGAAUACCUCAUCCCAUUUCUCUGGGUUAAUUCUGGGAGGUUUGAGCUGCAGGGAUCCAGGGUUUGGAGCUCAUGGCAGAGACAGCACCUGAGUUUUCCUCACGGGAAUUCCCACCUGAGCUCCAGCCCGUCCCCAGGGCUGUGUCUGAGCUGCCCCAGGAGCUUUUCCCAGCCUGGAUUCUCCCAAAAUCCAGCCCAUUAGGAAGUGCAGACCUUGACACACUUCAGGUUCUUUGGAACUUUUCCGUGUGUGGCUCCUCUGGGAUUUUCUGGGAUUUUCCUCAUCCAAUCUGGGUAGCUCUGGCCCUGCAGGCCUGGGGGCCCCAAACUCAUUUAGCAGCGUUAAUUGCAGCCCUAAUGAACAGGGAUCCUGCCCUCACCGGGGUUUGGAGGUCUUUGCUGUCCCAACAGACUCUGGGAUGCAUAUUCCAGACUGGCUCUGGAUCCAGGAGAAGUCUGUAGAGAUGUGGGAUGGAACAGGACAAUCCCUAUCUCUCCCACUGCUCCAAGGCAUCCAACACCAAAUCCAAUGAGAUUCCCGUGUCCUUAUCCAUGCCCUGAACGAGGUGGGAACAGCCACAGGCUCCUCCUCUCCUGGUCUGAACAGCAGGAUCUGACUUUUCCAUGUUUCCCAUUGCAAAUUCCAGUUUGGACAGCAGAACCUGCCCAACUCAAGGGGUUCAAUCCCCAGCUUGGUUGUGUCCAGCUCAGAGAAUCCCAGGAUGGUUUGGGUUGGAAAAGCUCAUCCAGUGCCACCCCCUGCCACGGGCAGGGACAGCUUCCACCAUUCCCGGGUUUCUCCAAGCCCAUCCAGGCCUUGGAUUGAUCUGCCCAGUUCUCCUCCAGCUUCCUACCACACCCAUGGGAUCCACAAACCCACUGCCCACCACGAAUCCAGCAGAAAAUUCCCAAGCAAAAUCCCCAAAUUUCAAGCAAAACCCAAAGCCUACAACAACAGCAUCACCACCACCACCAGGAAAACCAGAAUUCUUCCCAAAAAAAUUCCUCAAAUCCAGCUGCAAGCAGCAGAAACCCCUCAGCACUUUGUGGGAAUUUGCCACUGCUUUUUCCAGCCGUGAGUUAGAUCCCCAAAUCCCCUGUUUCCCACCCAGGAUGUUGCAGUAGCUGUAACACCAAGCUUGGCAUGAUGGAAUCCCUCAAUCCCUGCCAUGACCUGAUGCUUCCCAGCUGGAAUUUUCUGGAUUGUCCCUCUCUGGCUGUGCCAAACAUCUUCCCCAGCGAGGAAAAUAUUUUGCUGUCUCCAGACUGAGUAAAAAUAACCCUCAAUUCCCUUCUCAAUUAGGUGAGGGCUGGAAUGGGAAGUUAACUGGGCCUUUCUUGCCUCAGAUGAUCUGUGGGAAGCAGCUCAGUCCCACAGAAGCACUGGGAAGCACAGCCAGGAUGGGAUAACGGGGCAGCUCAUCCUGAGGGGGCUGCACAGAGAAGAGAAAAAGGGAUUUGGGGGAAAAAAUGGGAAAGGAAAAGCUGGCAAAGGCUGGAAGUUCAUUGGAUGCUCCAGCUCUAAAGCAUGUGGAGGAAUAGAUGAACUUGGAAGGAAAAAAAAAAAACAGGAAAAAAAAAUUUCCAAGGGGGUUGCACAGAGAAGGGGAAAAGGAAUUUGGGGGGGAAAUUGGGAAAGAAAAUCUGGCAAAGUCUGGAAAUUCAUUGGAUGCUCCAGCUCUAAGACAUGUGGAGGAAUCGAUUGAAUUUCAAGGAAAAAGAAAAAACAGAAAGAAAAAACACUCCCAGGGAGGCUGCACAGAGAAAGGAAAAAGGGAUUAUGGAAAAGAAAAAGGUGGCAGAGGCUGAAAUUUCUUUGGAUGUUCCAGCUCUAAAGCAUGUGGAGGAAUAAUUUAACUUGGAAGGGGAAAAAAAAACCAAAACCAAACCAGGAAGAAAAAAACAUUUCCUCGCCGAUUAGAACCCGUUAAUUGCCACGGAGCUAAAUUUGGGAAUUAGCUUUUUGUUUCCCAAGAAACCCUCGGAAAAUAUUGCCAGGGCCAGUCUCAGUGUCCCCUGGGUGGCUCGGUGCCAGCUCUGGAGGUGCCACCCACGCUGCCCGCCGGGCACCCGCCAGGCACCGGCUCUGCCUCGCCUGCCUGUCAGCUCCUCUUUUCCCUCCGGCUGAUGAAUAAUGGGAAUAAAAACCAGGGGAAAAAAGCAGCGUGACAGUCAAUUACUGCCUGUGAUGAGGCACCCCGAGCAGCUCCUGCUCCCCGCGCCGCUGGGCGCUCCCGUUAAACAAACCGGAGCGCGGGGUGGGCGCCGUGUGAACAGGGAAACAAAGGAGCUGCUGAUUUAUCUCCCUGUUUUCCUACCGAAAAUGUUCAUGAAUAUGUUCAUGAGUCCAGCUGGAUUUGUAGGGAAGCCUGGAUUAUGGGAUGUGAGUGUGGAUCCUCUCAGUGGAGGGGCUGUGUGGGAAUCCAGAGCUUCCCUCUGGCUGCCCUGGCAGGUCUGGGACCCUGGCAGGGGUCAGGAACCCCCCUGGACAGAGCCCCCAGAGACACUGGCUGUGAUCUCUGCCCAUGGAAAAGAGUUUUCAAUCUUACAGGAUGAAUUACCAGCUCUGAGUGCUUGAUAUAAGUAAUAAUUAAGUGUGGCACAGGUGCAAAAGUAAAAUUUUAGGAUUCGAGAUGAGGGGUCCAAAGGGGACAAGAUGGAGGAAAUUGGGUGUGUCUUGUCCUUUUUCUCCUUCUUCAUGCCCUCCAUGUUUCACUGUGGUGUUGGCAUUUUUCUGUUGGUUCAGGCUGGGGACACACUGUCCAACGUAGGUGACAGAUAUUGGCACGUUAUUGUAAAUCCAGCACAGGUAGUUUCUGGUAUUUAAUGUUUGUACCAUCCCACUGAGGGCAGAGCCCCACACGCUGCCCUGCAGGACAGAGCUGCGGCAGGGCAGCAGAACAUGUUAGAGAUAAACAGAAUAAACAACAUUGAAACAGCACAGACCAAUUAUGGCUUCUGCUUUGGCAGUGGGGCUGAAAGACAGAGACUUUCUACAAUUUUGGGAUCAUCAAUACCGCAGAUUCUGACAGGGUUGGAUGGUGAGGAUGGCAGCUCUGGUGCAAUCUUCCUGUCGUUCUCUGCCUCUGCUUCUCUUUCUUUCACAGAGGCUCAAUUAAUUUUGGAAUACUUCCAGUUCUUGUAGUUUUUCAUUAAGAUCCUUUGAACGACCCAAGGGCCACCCAAAAGGGCAGGAAAUGGGACAGCACCUCGGGAUGAACCCCAAAUGAGGAUUUUUGGCAAAGCAGCGCUUGGGCCCGGUGAUUUGGGUUUGUUGGAAUGGGAUUUUGUGGGAUAUUGGGACAAAUUUGGCUGGAGAGGCUGUGGCUGCUCUGUCCAUGGAAUGUCCAAGGCCAGGCUGGAGCAGCCUGGGACAGUGGGAGGUGUCCCUGCCCUGGCACCGGAUGAUUUUUAAGGUCCCUCCCAACCCAAACCACUCCGGGGUUCUCUGAAGGCCUCGAAAUCCCCUGACAACAAAACAGAUAAAAGCCCAGACUCCAAACCCCUCCCUGCACUGGAUUUUUGGGAUUUCUCUAAUCCAGCUGAGGCGUGACUCAAGUGGGAAUUCCUGCUUCCCCGCUUCCAGCCCUGCUCCUGGAUGGAUGAGGCAGCCAAAUGUUCCCAUCUGGGGUUUUCCACCCUGGCACCAUCCCACCCUGCUGAGUGAGAGCCACAGCCUGGCAUCAGCUCAGCAAAAACAUUCCCGACUUCCCGAGGUCUGGGGAGCUGGGAAGGAUUCCUGGGAAUGCUGAGAGGAGCAUCCCUCCCCUCCCCAGCAACCCCACAGAGGCAGAGCUGCCUCCAAUCCCCGUUAUCCCUCCAAAUCUCCAUUAUCCCAUGCAAAUUCCUGUUGCAGCUCCACCA
This 7821-nucleotide long non-coding RNA is filed under the name Taeniopygia guttata (zebra finch). Its description in RNAcentral is "lncRNA (ENSTGUG00000025360.1)". The record is from RNAcentral. Lineage: Eukaryota; Metazoa; Chordata; Aves; Passeriformes; Estrildidae.